AGCGAACGCUGGCGGCAGGCUUAACACAUGCAAGUCGAACGGGCAUCUUCGGAUGUCAGUGGCAGACGGGUGAGUAACACGUGGGAACGUACCCUUCGGUUCGGAAUAACUCAGGGAAACUUGAGCUAAUACCGGAUACGCCCUUUUGGGGAAAGGUUUACUGCCGAAGGAUCGGCCCGCGUCUGAUUAGCUUGUUGGUGGGGUAACGGCCUACCAAGGCGACGAUCAGUAGCUGGUCUGAGAGGAUGAUCAGCCACACUGGGACUGAGACACGGCCCAGACUCCUACGGGAGGCAGCAGUGGGGAAUAUUGGACAAUGGGCGCAAGCCUGAUCCAGCCAUGCCGCGUGAGUGAUGAAGGCCUUAGGGUUGUAAAGCUCUUUUGGCCGGGACGAUAAUGACGGUACCGGAAGAAUAAGCCCCGGCUAACUUCGU
RNAcentral lists this ribosomal RNA (434 nucleotides) under uncultured bacterium. Its description in RNAcentral is "partial 16S ribosomal RNA". It matches the Rfam family "Bacterial small subunit ribosomal RNA", at positions 29 to 506 of the family's 1533-position model. The record is from RNAcentral.